AGAGUUUCAUUCUGGCUCAGGAUGAACGCUAGCGACAGGCUUAACACAUGCAAGUCGAGGGGCAGCGGGGGCGUAGCAAUAUGCCUGCCGGCGACCGGCGCACGGGUGAGUAACACGUAUGUAACCUGCCCUAUGCAGGGGGAUAACCCGGAGAAAUCCGGCCUAAUACCGCGUAACACCUUUGGGGAGCAUUCCCUUGGGGUUAAAGGAGAGAUCCGGCAUAGGAUGGACAUGCGUCGCAUUAGGUAGACGGCGGGGUAACGGCCCACCGUGCCGACGAUGCGUAGGGGUUCUGAGAGGAAGGCCCCCCACACUGGUACUGAGACACGGACCAGACUCCUACGGGAGGCAGCAGUGAGGAAUAUUGGUCAAUGGCCGAGAGGCUGAACCAGCCAAGUCGCGUGAGGGAAGAAUGUCCUAAGGAUUGUAAACCUCUUUUGUCGGGGAGCAAAAAGGCUCUGCGGAGUCGUAUUGAGAGUACCCGAAGAAAAAGCAUCGGCUAACUCCGUGCCAGCAGCCGCGGUAAUACGGAGGAUGCGAGCGUUAUCCGGAUUUAUUGGGUUUAAAGGGUGCGCAGGCGGCGUGUCAAGCAAGCGGUAAAAUAGCGGGGCUCAACCCCGUCGAGCCGUUUGAACUGGCGCGCUUGAGUUCAGGCGAGGUAGGCGGAAUUCGUGGUGUAGCGGUGAAAUGCAUAGAUAUCACGAAGAACUCCAAUUGCGAAGGCAGCUUACCAGUCUGCGACUGACGCUCAGGCACGAAAGUGUGAGUAUCGAACAGGAUUAGAUACCCUGGUAGUCCACACAGUAAACGAUGAGCGCUAGGUGUCCGGGUCGAAUGAGGCUUGGGUGCCCGAGCGAAAGCGUUAAGCGCUCCACCUGGGGAGUACGCCGGCAACGGUGAAACUCAAAGGAAUUGACGGGGGCCCGCACAAGCGGAGGAACAUGUGGUUUAAUUCGAUGAUACGCGAGGAACCUUACCCGGGCUCAAACGACUCAGGAAUAUAUUGGAAACGAUGUAGCCAGCAAUGGUCUGAGUCGAGGUGCUGCAUGGUUGUCGUCAGCUCGUGCCGUGAGGUGUCGGCUUAAGUGCCAUAACGAGCGCAACCCCUACCGCCAGUUGCCAACGGGUAAAGCCGGGAACUCUGGCGGGACUGCCGGCGCAAGCUGCGAGGAAGGCGGGGAUGACGUCAAAUCAGCACGGCCCUUACGUCCGGGGCGACACACGUGUUACAAUGGCAGGUACAGCGGGAAGCCACCUGGUGACAGGGAGCGGAACCCGAAAGCCUGUCUCAGUUCGGAUUGGAGUCUGCAACUCGACUCCAUGAAGCUGGAUUCGCUAGUAAUCGCGCAUCAGCCAUGGCGCGGUGAAUACGUACCCGGGCCUUGCACACACCGCCCGUCA
Molecule: ribosomal RNA, 1401 nt
Filed under: uncultured bacterium
Lineage: Bacteria
Description: 16S ribosomal RNA
Rfam family: Bacterial small subunit ribosomal RNA
Source: RNAcentral